CCUUCGGUGGAAAAUAAAGAGAAUUCAGAAAUGAAAGAAAGAUUUAAGCAUGUUGUUGAUGAUCCUUUUUCAGUUGAUUUGGUUGAGGAUGAUGGUCAAGUCGUUGUACCAGAGGCUCCUAUUGAGUUUUCCAUGGAGAGCAAAGAUGGAGUCUUGGAGAAAAAUUCUCAAAUGGGUGACGAUGCUAAGCAAUUUCUUGAAGAAAGGUUGCAACUUAACAAUUUGGAGCAGGGAAAGAAUGAUUUUAUAAAUCAUGUAUCUGAUCUAUGCGGUGCCAGCCAGAUAAAGGAACAGAUUGCUGAAGAAAUUAAUGGUUGUGGUGAUUCCUAUGAGAGUGAGUUGAAUCAAGCUGAUAACAUUUUGCCAGAUAUAGGAGAACUGAAGGUUGAUGCUGUCCUGAUAAAGCAACAGAUGAGUGAAAAAGUCAAGAGUUUUAACAAUACCUUUGUUAAUGUAGUUAACCCUGAUGAUGAGUCCAUUCAGCAACUUGUGUCAGAACCUCAAGAAGUGAAAGUGGAUGUCAUGGGAGUGGAGGCAAAAAAUGCUACAGAUUUCGUGAAGGGUGAUCAGGGCUGUGUCUUCAAUAGAAGUCUUGCUCUUGAUAAAGGCAGUGAGGGUGAGAAACUAGACCGUAAGUGUAAAUCGGGGCCCGAAACUGCUAUGAAAGUUGAAUCUCUUGCACUUGAAGAUGCCAUCAGAGUUGAAUCUGGAGAUAAUGCAUUUGAGAUUAAUGAAAUUCAGACUCUGGAUUUGUUGGGGAAUGGUGAUUUGCCUGAAAUAUCUGGAGAUGAUAAAUUGGGAGAAGCCUCUCAGGGAGAUACGAAUUCCCUUGGUAUUAGAGAUGAAGCAAACCAUGAUUCAGAAAAGAUAGGAGGGCAAAAAGGUUUGCUUUCUGAAGAAGAUAUUGAAGAAUUGAUAUUUGGAGGCUCUGGGAGUGUUGAGAAUAUCAUAGGUGAAUUGCAGAAAAGUUCAGCCUCCUCUCCUUUUCCAGUGGCUGAUGAUUUCCAUGAU
This 1011-nucleotide unclassified non-coding RNA is filed under the name Hevea brasiliensis (rubber tree). The record is from RNAcentral. Lineage: Eukaryota; Viridiplantae; Streptophyta; Magnoliopsida; Malpighiales; Euphorbiaceae.